This 846-nucleotide ribosomal RNA is filed under the name Triticum aestivum (bread wheat). Its description in RNAcentral is "partial small subunit ribosomal RNA". Lineage: Eukaryota; Viridiplantae; Streptophyta; Magnoliopsida; Poales; Poaceae. The record is from RNAcentral.
AUGAUUGCUGGGGCCAAGAAGACUGAGCUAUUCCUGGGGACGUCAUACCGCGCUGGCGAAGAACCGCGAGGCCCAGGUACCAUCGAGUGCGAGCCACACAACACAGUCCACGACUGGACCGGUGAGUCGAAGGAGCCCAGCGAAGACAUGGGCAACUUGUACUCCGCGGCACGCGACCCGGUCUUCUUCGCGCACCACGGCAACGUCGACCGCAUGUGGAAUGUCUGGCGCUGCCUUGGCCACACCGACUUCACCGACACCGACUGGCUUGACAGUAACUUUCUGUUUUACGACGAGGAGGCCCGCCUUGUCCGUGUCCACGUCCGUGACUGCCUCGACACGCUGGCCUUGCGCUACACUUACCAGGACGUCCCUCUGCCAUGGUUGACCGCCAAACCAACCGAGGCAGGAGAUACCAACACUCCGGUUACCCCGACCACAGGGGUUCUCCCGGCUGUCUUGGACGGGAUUGUGCGGGUGGACGUGCCUAGGACCAAGGUCUCCAGGAGCCGCUUCCAGAAGGACGAGGAGGAGGAGGUGCUGAUCGUUGAGGGGAUCGAGAUCGCAGACAGCUCAAAGUACGUCAAGUUCGAUGUGCAUGUGAACGCGCCACAACACGAACAACUCAACGCGGCUCACGCACAGUUUGCUGGGAGCGUGGUGCUCCUGCCGCACAUGUCCGGGCAACACGAGGGCAAGACCAAGAUGUCUGCCAGGUUCGGCAUCUCUGACUUACUGGACUCCAUCCGAGCGGACGGCGACAAGAAAAUCAUCGUCUCGCUUGUGCCGAGAAGCGCGGGUGAGGUGGUCACUGUGGGAGCCGUCCGCAUCGGCUACAUCAAAUGA